RNAcentral lists this ribosomal RNA (253 nucleotides) under uncultured bacterium. RNAcentral's name for it is "partial 16S ribosomal RNA". It matches the Rfam family "Bacterial small subunit ribosomal RNA", at positions 524 to 776 of the family's 1533-position model. The record is from RNAcentral.
UACGUAGGGGGCUAGCGUUGUUCGGAUUCAUUGGGCGUAAAGGGUGCGUAGGCGGUCGCGUAAGUCAGGUGUGAAAUCUCGGGGCUCAACCCCGAAACUGCACUUGAUACUGCGUGGCUCGGGUACUGGAGAGGAGACUGGAAUUUACGGUGUAGCAGUGAAAUGCGUAGAUAUCGUAAGGAAGACCAGUGGCGAAGGCGAGUCUCUGGACAGUUACCGACGCUGAGGCACGAAGGUCAGGGGAGCAAACGGG